UCUAAGGAUGAUCCUUCAGAUCAGCUCACGCUAUCUAUCGGAUCGUUUUAGAAACAUUCAGGGGCCAACAGUUUCAGGAUUGUUGAGCUCCAUUGGCGGGAUUUCGCCGUCUUCGUUUCUCUUUCUUCGCGGACGAACACGCGCCAGGGGCUGAGCGCUGUGCGGUGCACCGACUAAGCGUCGCGUGCGCGCCGGCAUGUCUCUCGUGUUAGGGGCUUGUAGCUCAGUUGGUUAGAGCGCGCGCUUGAUAAGCGUGAGGUCGGAAGUUCAAGUCUUCCCAGGCCCACCAUUUUGAUCGAGUGCGGAGCAUUCGUCUUCUGGUACGGGGCCAUAGCUCAGCUGGGAGAGCGCGUGCUUUGCAAGCAUGAGGUCGUCGGUUCGAUCCCGUCUGGCUCCACCAGAUGGUUUGAUCACCAACGGCGUUACCGUCGUCCGCGAAACAUCACUUCGCACUCAUUGGUCCGGAUGGACGGUGACGUGCGUGUUUUCUGACAUCGUAAAGAGGAGAUCGAUCCGAGUUUGGAUCAAGCGAAGCAAUUCGCCUGAACCAUUCAUUAUCUCCGGGAUCAUUUCGGCGCUCGCGCAUCGCAGUUCAUCGCAAGAUGAGUGGGGUGAGCGGGUUGUAAAUGAUCUCUUUUAGCGAAGCUUGACCGCCUCGCUAUCGGGCCGAUCUUACGAAGCAAGCUGGUCUUUCUAGUCAAUGUCCGGCUGCGCAAUCGCAUUCAUCGAGGAUGCGUGCCUGGGACUUCGGUCUUCGGGCAGUUGCGCAGACAACAUUCUGCCGAGUGUGUGGACAUUGAUAAUGAGAGCAAUCAAGUGCCUUAAGGGUGUUCGGUGGAUGCCUUGGCGCUGAGAGGCGAUGAAGGACGUGCUACGCUGCGAUAAGCCGUGGGGAGCUGCGAAGAAGCUUUGAUCCGCGGAUUU
RNAcentral lists this unclassified non-coding RNA (924 nucleotides) under Bradyrhizobium elkanii. Its description in RNAcentral is "partial contains 16S-23S rRNA intergenic spacer, and 23S rRNA". The stretch from base 811 to 924 matches the Rfam family "Bacterial large subunit ribosomal RNA", at positions 1 to 113 of the family's 2925-position model. Lineage: Bacteria; Pseudomonadati; Pseudomonadota; Alphaproteobacteria; Hyphomicrobiales; Nitrobacteraceae. The record is from RNAcentral.